RNAcentral lists this ribosomal RNA (450 nucleotides) under uncultured bacterium. RNAcentral describes it as "partial 16S ribosomal RNA". It matches the Rfam family "Bacterial small subunit ribosomal RNA", at positions 354 to 796 of the family's 1533-position model. The record is from RNAcentral.
GUGGGGAAUAUUGGACAAUGGGCGAAAGCCUGAUCCAGCCAUGCCGCGUGUGUGAAGAAGGUCUUCGGAUUGUAAAGCACUUUAAGUUGGGAGGAAGGGCAGUAAGUUAAUACCUUGCUGUUUUGACGUUACCGACAGAAUAAGCACCGGCUAACUUCGUGCCAGCAGCCGCGGUAAUACGAAGGGUGCAAGCGUUAAUCGGAAUUACUGGGCGUAAAGCGCGCGUAGGUGGUUUUGUAAGUUGGAGGUGAAAUCCCCGGGCUCAACCUGGGAACUGCCUCCAAAACUGCAUGACUAGAGUACGGUAGAGGGUAGUGGAAUUUCCUGUGUAGCGGUGAAAUGCGUAGAUAUAGGAAGGAACACCAGUGGCGAAGGCGACUACCUGGACUGAUACUGACACUGAGGUGCGAAAGCGUGGGGAGCAAACGGGAUUAGAUACCCUAGUAGUCC